UACGUAGGGUGCAAGCGUUGUCCGGAAUUAUUGGGCGUAAAGAGCGUGUAGGCGGCCCGGUUAGUCCGCUGUGAAAGUCCAGGGCUCAACCCUGGAAUGCCGGUGGAUACUGUCGGGCUAGAGUCCGGAAGGGGCGAGUGGAAUUCCUGGUGUAGCGGUGAAAUGCGCAGAUAUCAGGAGGAACACCGGUGGCGAAGGCGGUUCUCUGGGCAUUACCUGACGCUGAGGAGCGAAAGUGUGGGGAGCGAUCCGG
RNAcentral lists this ribosomal RNA (253 nucleotides) under uncultured bacterium. RNAcentral's name for it is "partial 16S ribosomal RNA". It matches the Rfam family "Bacterial small subunit ribosomal RNA", at positions 524 to 776 of the family's 1533-position model. The record is from RNAcentral.